UAUUUUUUUUUUGUACAUGAUUUUGAUAUUUUAAUUACUCAUAAGUUAUUAGAAAAUUUCCAUAUAACUGCUUGUAUUAAAGACAAGUUUUUUAAGAUAAGAUUUUAAGGAAUUUAUAUUUUUCAGGAGAGAUAUUGAGGAAUUUUUUGGAAUUAAUUUGUUAUACAAGUAAUUAACAUCUUCGCAGUUUGAGUUAUCUUGUUUUAGCUCUUCAUUAUUGAGUUUAGAGAUAAACCGGUAUAAAAAAUACAAACUUCAUAGACACAGCAUAUAAAAAGAGUUUUAUUAUUUCUGUUUUUAUGCUAGCUUUUUUGAUAAUAACUUAAGUUUCAACGUAGUACAAAAACAUUAAUUUGAGUGAUAUAAUCCAAUCAUUGGUAAUAGAACAAGAUAAACCUAACCUCGCGAUCUCUCAGAAAUUCAGUAUAUUGCUUUACACAAUAAUACAAAUUUUUUAUUUAAAAAGUAUGAUUUUUGUUUUAAACAGGUUUUUUUGUUGUUUCAGUUUGUUUUUUAGCUAAAAUUUUUAAAUUUGCCUUUUUAUGUAUCUUUUUCAGAUGAGCUGAUUAGAGAUUACGAAACAAGUUUAAAAUCAGCGGAAUUAGUAGCCACUAUUCCUGUAUAAGCUAUGUCCUACAAGGUAUCGUUUAAUUUAAAACCCAAGUCAUACUCAUAUGGUUUUUAAAGUGUUCUUCAUUUCACUAUUGGUAAUGAUAUCAGUGAAUUCGGUGACGGAACUCCAACACUUUGGUUUCGACCCUAAGAACCUAACUAUAAGGGUUUUUUACGUCACUGCACCGAUAAAUUAAAAUAGGAAUAGAGAAAUCUAUAUUGAUGCACUUCCUUACAAUGUGUGGAAAAACGUUGUUAUUAUUCAGCAACGUAUUGAUGACAAAUAUGUUUUCACAAUUAACGUAAAUGGAGCAAACGCAUUUUCUGAAAAUAAUGCCAAACCCCAAAAAUUUGACAACGUGAAAGUUUUUGCUUCCGAUCAGUAGUAUUCAUCUCAAGAUGGAUCAAUAAAAAAUCUCAUUCUUAAAAACGGGGAGCCUAGUAUUACUUUUUUUUUAACGCUCUUUUUUACUAUUUUUGUCUAACGCAUUUAAAAUCAGGCGUAUCAAAGAGUCUGCUGUUUCGUUUUGUAUUUUAAUAAUUAAAAGUGUACAUUCAAAAACUUUUAAAUGCACUAUUUGUUAUUUUUUUAUAUCUAAACUAGUUUCAUAAACAGUACUUUUAUUUUUUACACUUUUACUUUUAAUGAAUUGUCUAACUGAAUUUAAAUGGAUUCUAUUAUUCGCAAGUUAUUUUAGGUGAAUCUUUUCCGAAAGCCGUACUGAAGUCGAAAUAUUUUGUGGAUAACGAAGUUGAAGAGACACUGAAGAAAAAUAACUUGGUUGCGAUUUUGUCAAAAUUAGAACAAUCAUUCGAUUUUUAUUUCGAUUUAAAACUCAACAGUUUUUCAGAUGGAUUUAGGUGUGUCAUUCAUUUGACUAUAUGAGAGGAUAAUUCAAAAUACGGUGAUCGAAUUCUUGGUAUUUGGGUUUUUAAGCAAAUGUUACACGUUGGUUUUGCAAUAAACAAUAAUAAAAAUGAAUAUUUUGAAUCCAAGCCACUUCAACAAGGCCAGUGGAUAAAUGUUCAUAUACGUCAGCACGCUGAAUCUGGAAGUGCUUCUUUUACUUUAUAUAUCAACAACGAAAAUGUAUAUACUGUACAAAACUUCAACCCACAAGAAUUUACAAAUGUCAAAGUUUACGCGAAAGAUUCGUGAUAUGAAACUCAGGAUGGCUCCAUUAAAAUGUUCAAUAUCAUUAAUGGAUAUUUAGGUAAAUUCUAAAACUUUGACAUGAAAGCUUGAACGACUGCUGCAUCGAUUUUAUAUUGGAUUGUUUGCUUUCAUCGUUUUUAUUCUUUUAUUUUAAUUAGAUGAGAAAAAGGAAUUAAAAAAGGACGCCAUACGAAAAAAGUCAUUUUGGUUAAAUAGUUAAUGUUUUUUAACGUCAUAGUUUUUUAUUUCACGUUUGUAUUUUUUGUACUUUUGAUAGUUUUUGUAGUAUGUAAUUUUUGAUGUUUUGAAUUUGUAUUUUUUAAUUUUUUUGUAAGUUUUCUACUUUUUUGUGUAACACUUUUUUAUUAGGUAAAUCCUAAAGCUUUUACAUGAAAGCUUGAACGACUGCUGCAUCGGUUUUAUAUUGGAUUGUUUGCUUUCAUCGUUUUUAUUCUUUUAUUUUAAUUAGAUGAGAAAAAGGAAUUAAAAAAGGACGCCAUACGAAAGAAGUCAUUUUGGUUAAAUAGUUAAUGUUUUUUAACGUCAUAGUUUUUUAUUUCAAGUUUGUAUUUUUUGUACUUUUGAUAGUUUUUGCAGUAUGUAAUUUUUGAUGUUUUGAAUUUGUAUUUUUUAAUUUUUUUGUAAGUUUUCUACUUUUUUGUGUAACACUUUUUUAUUAGGUAAAUCCUAAAGCUUUUACAUGAAAGCUUGAACGACUGCUGCAUCGGUUUUA
This is a non-coding RNA of Hydra vulgaris (swiftwater hydra), 2501 nucleotides long. The record is from RefSeq and is a predicted model, not a curated record. NCBI's taxonomy places the organism in Eukaryota, Metazoa, Cnidaria, Hydrozoa, Anthoathecata, Hydridae.